Long non-coding RNA from Lingula anatina, 245 nucleotides. Lineage: Eukaryota; Metazoa; Brachiopoda; Lingulata; Lingulida; Lingulidae. The record is from RefSeq and is a predicted model, not a curated record.
UGUCAUCAGCUACAGUCCUACUGCCAGCAGGGUUUGUUCUUCUUGCUGUGAUCUUCUACCAGUAUAUACGUGUGAAGGAACAGAAGAAGAAAGUAGAGAAGGCUUACCAGGCUUUACAUAUGGAGAGAGAUGACAACAAAGAACUGGUGACCAAGCUACAUCUGAUGUCAGACCCAAGUUAACCGUAGACCCUGGUUGUUGACAGAUGUUUUACUGACGGCACACACUGGUUGUUGACAGGUGUU